ACACACACACACACAUUUAUAUUUUAAAGUGGCUUAUUGGACCUGUGCAGACAGCUCAUAGGGCAACCGGCGAUUGCCACCAACCUUGAGGACUUGGGUUCGAUUCCCUGGGAACCACGUGGUAGGAGAGAACUGACCUCCAUGCUUAAGUUUGUCCACACAAAAUAAAUUUUAAGAUGUAACGACAACAACCAAAUGGCUUUAUUUGAGAAGAUGAACAAGAGGGUGUGUGUGGGGGGGGUUAGGUUUAAUUUAGUUUUUCUUCUUUGUAGGAGCUGGGAGUGCGGACAUACAUGUCAACUACCUGGAAAUUAUCAAUGACUGCACGUGCCCAGCUCUUCUGGACCCUCUGAUGUUCUGUCACAUGGGAGCAAAUGGAGAGCUGGGACAUCCUUUGACCUCAGCCCUCAAAGGAUAAUUAACUUCUUGCUCAAUCCCUCAGCAUUUGACCAAAAUACCAAGAUAAAAAUGUAGGCCCGUGUUAGUACAAAAGGUCCUGCAUUCAACUGUCCUCCUUAUAUUGCCCAAGAAGUCUUGUGGAAUUCCAAGAAGAAUUCAAGGGGCCAGACCUGGAAUAUGCAUCAAUGAGAAUAAGACACUGACGAAGCUAACGACACUAACGGGGAAUGAGGAUAAUCGACUCCUGUCCUUUGUUUUACUCUUUAACCUAGUAAUAAAUCCCUUUAAAGGCC
RNAcentral lists this long non-coding RNA (692 nucleotides) under Mus musculus (house mouse). RNAcentral describes it as "predicted gene, 36199". The record is from RNAcentral. Lineage: Eukaryota; Metazoa; Chordata; Mammalia; Rodentia; Muridae.